Solea solea (common sole) is the source of this 671-nucleotide long non-coding RNA. RefSeq lists it as uncharacterized. The transcript has 6 exons. The record is from RefSeq and is a predicted model, not a curated record. Lineage: Eukaryota; Metazoa; Chordata; Actinopteri; Pleuronectiformes; Soleidae.
AACAGAGAUGGCUUCAACCAAAACUUAUUCCCUCGCCUUACUCUCCCAGGAUCAAGCUUUUGAUGAGUUGGCCCUGGUGAGGUGCAGUGCAAUCAAAUGCAUCACUGCGUAAGCUAUUGUAGAAUGUCCUGGGAGAGAGGGAGGGUGGCUGCAUGAGGCGGGAAGAAGGAGAGGGCGUGUGAGUGUGAGGAUCGAUCACACCCGGGUGCUUGGAGAGGACGGAGUGACCAGCCAUGAAAUGGUUGCAUCCCGAGAGGAGGUUUCUGAAUUCGCACCAUGCUGGCAUGUUAUUGGCCCGUUCAAGACCUGAGCCCCGUGUGAAACGCCAUCCUGUCUGCUUGGUGAAGACUUGGGUUGCUGAGGACCUGAACCACGUGUGAAGCUGAGUGAAGGCAGGAAGGAAGGCGGGCCUGGCUCUCAGAUGCCUGAUGAAAGGAAACCAUUUAUUCCUACUUGGUGCACCUCCUUUGCUCCACUUCCACCACCAGCUCUCCUCUGUUCCUCCACUUUGACCAUUCAGAGGCUAAGAAAAGCAGCCCCAGGGAAUCAAAGCCAACAAUUAGGGGAGCUGUGUCAGCCAUUAAAGGCAGGGGGUGUGAAUGACGGUGACCUUGAAGACGACUGCAGACGACUGUUUGUCCACAAAACACAAGUGAUGAAGCGACGGUGAG